CAUCAGUUCUGCUUUUGUGGGGAGAUAACAGCUCUAUAAAUUCAGGGAUACUCCACAUGCCUCACUUAAGACAUCAGUGACUUUGUUAACCCUCAUAUCUCUGGGUUCUGAGACAGCAGUCACACUUCUACCAUGAGAUUCCUGUAUUUUCUCUUCUUUGGUGUCUUUGUCCUGUCCCUGGCAACAUCAGGUGACACUGGAAUUCCAAGAAGAUCUCUGAAUUCCUGUAGUGUAUGUCCUCCUGCCACUUGUCAGUCAAGAUCAUUACCCUGCAAAAAAGCAAUUGAUGGUAUCUGUCCUAGUGGCAUGCAGUGCUGUGUGACUGGUUCAUCUCAAAAAGGAUGCUGAAGAGUCAUAUCUGCAUGGAAUAUAACCAGGUUCAAGCACAGAUGUUACUGCUUUGAAUAAAAAAAACACAGACUUCCUCUGA
Molecule: long non-coding RNA, 430 nt
Organism: Dromiciops gliroides (monito del monte)
Lineage: Eukaryota; Metazoa; Chordata; Mammalia; Microbiotheria; Microbiotheriidae
Exons: 2
Source: RefSeq, a predicted model, not a curated record